RNAcentral lists this ribosomal RNA (481 nucleotides) under uncultured bacterium. RNAcentral's name for it is "partial 16S ribosomal RNA". It matches the Rfam family "Bacterial small subunit ribosomal RNA", at positions 28 to 507 of the family's 1533-position model. The record is from RNAcentral.
GAUGAACGCUAGCGGCAGGCCUAAUACAUGCAAGUCGGACGGGAUUCAGGAGCUUGCUUCUGAUGAGAGUGGCGCACGGGUGCGUAACACGUAUGUAACCUACCUUUAUCAGGGGGAUAGCCUCUCGAAAGAGAGAUUAAGCCCGCAUAAAAUCACAGCACAGCAUUGUGUAAUGAUCAAAUAUUUAUAGGAUAAAGAUGGGCAUGCGGAACAUUAGCUAGAUGGCGGGGUAACGGCCCACCAUGCGACGAUGUUUAGGGGAUCUGAGAGGAUGGCCCCCCACACUGGUACUGAGACACGGACCAGACUCCUACGGGAGGCAGCAGUAAGGAAUAUUGGUCAAUGGGCGGAAGCCUGAACCAGCCAUGCCGCGUGCAGGAAGACGGCCCUACGGGUUGUAAACUGCUUCUAUACGGGAAUAAACCCAGAUACGUGUAUCUGGCUGAAUGUACUGUAAGAAUAAGGAGCGGCUAACUCCGUG